UGCGUAGGCGGCUUUCCAGGUCUGAUGUGAAAUCUCACGGCUCAACCGUGAAAUUGCGUUGGAAACCGGAAGGCUUGAGUGUGCUAGGGGUGUGUGGAACUUCCUGUGGAGCGGUGAAAUGUGUUGAUAUGGGAAGGAACGCCGGUGGCGAAAGCGACACACUGGGGCACAACUGACGCUGAGGCACGAAAGCUAAGGUAGCGAACG
RNAcentral lists this ribosomal RNA (207 nucleotides) under uncultured bacterium. Its description in RNAcentral is "partial 16S ribosomal RNA". It matches the Rfam family "Bacterial small subunit ribosomal RNA", at positions 568 to 774 of the family's 1533-position model. The record is from RNAcentral.